CCCCCCCAAAACGAAAGUGUGACGGGGUUACCCAAAGUGUUCUCUUUAGGACUGUGGUAAGUGAGUAAUGUCCCCUUAUAGAAAGGAGAGGGCAAGGCUGGUGCCAGCCGCCGCCCUAAAACCAGCUCUUCAAGUGGUCGGGAUAAUUAUUGGGCUUAAAGUGUCCGUAGCCGGUUUAGUAAGUUCCUGGUAAAAUCGGGUAGCUUAACUAUCCGUAUGCUAGGAAUACUGCUAUACUAGAGGGCGGGAGAGGUCUGAGGUACUACAGGGGUAGGGGUGAAAUCUUAUAAUCCUUGUAGGACCACCAGUGGCGAAGGCGUCAGACUGGAACGCGCCUGACGGUGAGGGACGAAAGCCAGGGGAGCGAACCGGAUUAGAUACCCGGGUAGUCCUGGCCGUAAACGAUGCAUACUAGGUGACGGCACGGCCAUGAGCCGUGUCGGUGCCGUAGGGAAACCGUUAAGUGUGCCGCCUGGGAAGUACGGUCGCAAGGCUAAAACUUAAAGGAAUUGGCGGGGGA
This 520-nucleotide ribosomal RNA is filed under the name uncultured archaeon. RNAcentral describes it as "bacterial SSU rRNA". It matches the Rfam family "Archaeal small subunit ribosomal RNA", at positions 347 to 875 of the family's 1478-position model. The record is from RNAcentral.